AUUGAACGCUGGCGGCAUGCCUUACACAUGCAAGUCGAACGGCAGCACGGGUGCUUGCACCUGGUGGCGAGUGGCGAACGGGUGAGUAAUACAUCGGAACAUGUCCUGUAGUGGGGGAUAGCCCGGCGAAAGCCGGAUUAAUACCGCAUACGAUCUACGGACGAAAGCGGGGGACCUUCGGGCCUCGCGCUAUAGGGUUGGCCGAUGGCUGAUUAGCUAGUUGGUGGGGUAAAGGCCUACCAAGGCGACGAUCAGUAGCUGGUCUGAGAGGACGACCAGCCACACUGGGACUGAGACACGGCCCAGACUCCUACGGGAGGCAGCAGUGGGGAAUUUUGGACAAUGGGCGAAAGCCUGAUCCAGCAAUGCCGUGUGUGUGAAGAAGGCCUUCGGGUUGUAAAGCACUUUUGUCCGGAAAGAAAUCCUUGGCUCUAAUACAGUCGGGGGAUGACGGUACCGGAAGAAUAAGCACCGGCUAACUACGUG
RNAcentral lists this ribosomal RNA (486 nucleotides) under uncultured bacterium. RNAcentral's name for it is "partial 16S ribosomal RNA". It matches the Rfam family "Bacterial small subunit ribosomal RNA", at positions 30 to 507 of the family's 1533-position model. The record is from RNAcentral.